AGAGUUUGAUCAUGGCUCAGAUUGAACGCUGGCGGCAGGCCUAACACAUGCAAGUCGAACGGUAACAGGAAGCAGCUUGCUGCUUCGCUGACGAGUGGCGGACGGGUGAGUAAUGUCUGGGAAACUGCCUGAUGGGGGGGGAUAACUACUGGAAACGGUAGCUAAUACCGCAUAACGUCGCAAGACCAAAGAGGGGGACCUUCGGGCCUCUUGCCAUCGGAUGUGCCCAGAUGGGAUUAGCUUGUUGGUGGGGUAACGGCUCACCAAGGCGACGAUCCCUAGCUGGUCUGAGAGGAUGACCAGCCACACUGGAACUGAGACACGGUCCAGACUCCUACGGGAGGCAGCAGUGGGGAAUAUUGCACAAUGGGCGCAAGCCUGAUGCAGCCAUGCCGCGUGUAUGAAGAAGGCCUUCGGGUUGUAAAGUACUUUCAGCGGGGAGGAAGGGAGUAAAGUUAAUACCUUUACUCAUUGACGUUACCCGCAGAAGAAGCACCGGCUAACUCCGUGCCAGCAGCCGCGGUAAUACGGAGGGUGCAAGCGUUAAUCGGAAUUACUGGGCGUAAAGCGCACGCAGGCGGUUUGUUAAGUCAGAUGUGAAAUCCCCGGGCUCAACCUGGGAACUGCAUCUGAUACUGGCAAGCUUGAGUCUCGUAGAGGGGGGUAGAAUUCCAGGUGUAGCGGUGAAAUGCGUAGAGAUCUGGAGGAAUACCGGUGGCGAAGGCGGCCCCCUGGACGAAGACUGACGCUCAGGUGCGAAAGCGUGGGGAGCAAACAGGAUUAGAUACCCUGGUAGUCCACGCCGUAAACGAUGUCGACUUGGAGGUUGUGCCCUUGAGGCGUGGCUUCCGGAGCUAACGCGUUAAGUCGACCGCCUGGGGAGUACGGCCGCAAGGUUAAAACUCAAAUGAAUUGACGGGGGCCCGCACAAGCGGUGGAGCAUGUGGUUUAAUUCGAUGCAACGCGAAGAACCUUACCUGGUCUUGACAUCCACGGAAGUUUUCAGAGAUGGAUUGGUGCCUUCGGGAGCUGUGAGACAGGUGCUGCAUGGCUGUCGUCAGCUCGUGUUGUGAAAUGUUGGGUUAAGUCCCGCAACGAGCGCAACCCUUAUCCUUUGUUGCCAGCGGUCCGGCCGGGAACUCAAAGGAGACUGCCAGUGAUAAACUGGAGGAAGGUGGGGAUGACGUCAAGUCAUCAUGGCCCUUACGACCAGGGCUACACACGUGCUACAAUGGCGCAUACAAAGAGAAGCGACCUCGCGAGAGCAAGCGGACCUCAUAAAGUGCGUCGUAGUCCGGAUUGGAGUCUGCAACUCGACUCCAUGAAGUCGGAAUCGCUAGUAAUCGUGGAUCAGAAUGCCACGGUGAAUACGUUCCCGGGCCUUGUACACACCGCCCGUCACACCAUGGGAGUGGGUUGCAAAAGAAGUAGGUAGCUUAACCUUCGGGAGGGCGCUUACCACUUUGUGAUUCAUGACUGGGGUGAAGUCGUAACAAGGUAACCGUAGGGGAACCUGCGGUUGGAUCACCU
Molecule: ribosomal RNA, 1530 nt
Filed under: Escherichia coli O104:H4 str. C227-11
Lineage: Bacteria; Pseudomonadati; Pseudomonadota; Gammaproteobacteria; Enterobacterales; Enterobacteriaceae
Description: bacterial SSU rRNA
Rfam family: Bacterial small subunit ribosomal RNA
Source: RNAcentral